AAAGUCGUAACAAGGUUUCCGUAGGUGAACCUGCGGAAGGAUCAUUACAAAUCCAAGUCUCUUGAGACAAGUUGAAAUGUGUGUAAUGCAAUGCGCUUACACAAAUCUUCUAUACAUUCAGUCGAACAACAUUAUAUCCUUUUUUUACACAACUUGUAACAAUGGAUCUCUAGGCUCUU
RNAcentral lists this unclassified non-coding RNA (179 nucleotides) under Basidiomycota sp. RNAcentral's name for it is "partial contains small subunit ribosomal RNA, internal transcribed spacer 1, and 5.8S ribosomal RNA". The stretch from base 1 to 47 matches the Rfam family "Eukaryotic small subunit ribosomal RNA", at positions 1785 to 1831 of the family's 1831-position model. Lineage: Eukaryota; Fungi; Basidiomycota. The record is from RNAcentral.